CCUACGGGCGGCUGCAGUGGGGAAUAUUGGACAAUGGGGGCAACCCUGAUCCAGCCAUGCCGCGUGUGUGAAGAAGGCCCUCGGGUUGUAAAGCACUUUCAGUGAGGAAGAACGCCUGGUGGUUAAUACCCAUCAGGAAAGACAUCACUCACAGAAGAAGCACCGGCUAACUCCGUGCCAGCAGCCGCGGUAAUACGGAGGGUGCGAGCGUUAAUCGGAAUUACUGGGCGUAAAGCGCGCGUAGGUGGCUUGAUAAGCCGGUUGUGAAAGCCCCGGGCUCAACCUGGGAACGGCAUCCGGAACUGGCAAGCUAGAGUGUAGGAGAGGAAGGUAGAAUUCCCGGUGUAGCGGUGAAAUGCGUAGAGAUCGGGAGGAAUACCAGUGGCGAAGGCGGCCUUCUGGACGGACACUGACACUGAGGUGCGAAAGCGUGGGUAGCAAACAGGAUUAGAUACCCCUGUAGUC
This 465-nucleotide ribosomal RNA is filed under the name Vreelandella stevensii. RNAcentral's name for it is "partial 16S ribosomal RNA". It matches the Rfam family "Bacterial small subunit ribosomal RNA", at positions 338 to 795 of the family's 1533-position model. Lineage: Bacteria; Pseudomonadati; Pseudomonadota; Gammaproteobacteria; Oceanospirillales; Halomonadaceae. The record is from RNAcentral.